GACGAACGCUGGCGGCGUGCUUAACACAUGCAAGUCGAACGGAAAGGCCCUGCUUUUGUGGGGUGCUCGAGUGGCGAACGGGUGAGUAACACGUGAGUAACCUGCCCUUGGCUUUGGGAUAACUUCAGGAAACUGGGGCUAAUACCGGAUAGGAGCUCCUGCUGCAUGGUGGGGGUUGGAAAGUUUCGGCGGUUGGGGAUGGACUCGCGGCUUAUCAGCUUGUUGGUGGGGUAGUGGCUUACCAAGGCUUUGACGGGUAGCCGGCCUGAGAGGGUGACCGGCCACAUUGGGACUGAGAUACGGCCCAGACUCCUACGGGCGGCAGCAGUGGGGAAUAUUGCACAAUGGGCGGAAGCCUGAUGCAGCAACGCCGCGUGCGGGAUGACGGCCUUCGGGUUGUAAACCGCUUUCGCCUGUGACGAAGCGUGAGUGACGGUAAUGGGUAAAGAAGCACCGGCUAACUACGUG
This 468-nucleotide ribosomal RNA is filed under the name uncultured bacterium. RNAcentral describes it as "partial 16S ribosomal RNA". It matches the Rfam family "Bacterial small subunit ribosomal RNA", at positions 28 to 507 of the family's 1533-position model. The record is from RNAcentral.